CAGUCACUGGAGGCAUCAUGCUCUCGACGAGUGUUAAGUUGAAGGUUUUUGAGCAGAUUUCUGAAGUUGAAGGUUGCAAAAAGAGGUAAAAAAGACAUACAAUGUAGUUGGGGUAGGAUAGUUAGGUAAGUAAAUACGUACGUAAAUACACAGACAGACAGUAGUUUGCAUGGACAUCCAGCUAGGAAACUUGAGACAGUGUUGAAUUUUAUGGCUUGUUUUUUACAAGGCCAACACGUUAACUUGUUCAGUUUCAGGAUGAAACAUAACAUGCUAUGCAUCAUCAUCUUAAUUCAUAUUACGGCAAAGAAUGGAACAUGUUUUGCAUGCACGUAUUGAAGUUGUGCUAAAAGAAAGAUUAAAAAACGACGAGGUUGAUGUUGAGGUCACUUUUUCAUUCGUUCAGCAGGCUCCAAGUCCAGUGGACCAGUUGCGACGACGAAGCGAUAGUUUCCGAAAUUUAUCGUGCAAAACAGGAAAAUGGGUCUCUCUGAGUGUGCAAUUUACUGGAUGCAGGAACAAUUUGCGGUCCUGCGACCGUACAUGCUCAGUGCGUUGGUCAUCUUCUGGUUCAUCCUUUUGUGGAAGUUGUCUCCCAUGGCGUUUGGCGUGGUUGGAAUGACCUGUCUGAAUUUUGUGGGGGUCUGUGCCCUGCUAAUUUUUAGAUUCUAUGAUAACUUGGGAAUUGGGUUCUAAAUAAUUAAAUAAUCAGUCAGGACGAAGAAUUGAUAUUUGUAAAUAUAAUUGUUUUUUUAUUCGUUGCUUACAUUUCUACAUAUGUAAUUACAACAUUGUAUAACGAAUUUAUUAUGAUCUCAAUAAAUACAUAUUUAGUUUACUAAAGAA
Folsomia candida is the source of this 846-nucleotide long non-coding RNA. RefSeq lists it as uncharacterized. Lineage: Eukaryota; Metazoa; Arthropoda; Collembola; Entomobryomorpha; Isotomidae. The transcript is spliced from 2 exons. The record is from RefSeq and is a predicted model, not a curated record.